RNAcentral lists this ribosomal RNA (542 nucleotides) under Clostridium botulinum C. Its description in RNAcentral is "partial 23S ribosomal RNA". It matches the Rfam family "Bacterial large subunit ribosomal RNA", at positions 930 to 1471 of the family's 2925-position model. Lineage: Bacteria; Bacillati; Bacillota; Clostridia; Eubacteriales; Clostridiaceae. The record is from RNAcentral.
CAACAGUUACUGAACCCUAUCAAACUCCGAAUGCCAUAUACUUGUACCCCGGCAGUCAGACUACGAAUGAUAAGAUCCGUGGUCAAAAGGGAAACAGCCCAGACCAUCAGCUAAGGUCCCAAAGUGUAAGUUAAGUGGGAAAGGAUGUGGGAUUUCUAAGACAACUAGGAUGUUGGCUUAGAAGCAGCCACUCAUUUAAAGAGUGCGUAAUAGCUCACUAGUCGAGAGAUCCUGCGCCGAAGAUGUAACGGGGCUCAAACUUACCACCGAAGCUAUGGAUGUGUACUUUGUACACGUGGUAGAGGAGCUUUCUGUACAGGUUGAAGUCAUACCGUAAGGAGUGGUGGACAGUACAGAAGUGAGAAUGCUGGCAUAAGUAGCGAAAAACAAGUGAGAAUCUUGUUGACCGAAUAUCUAAGGUUUCCUGGGGAAGGCUCGGCCUCCCAGGGUUAGUCGGGACCUAAGCCGAGGCCGAAAGGCGUAGGUGAUGGACAACUGGUUGAUAUUCCAGUACUACCAUAAUGCGUUUGACAAAUGGGAUG